GCCUCUCUUAUUGGCUGUAGGAGCGAGGUCGCUCCACCCUCUUCUCCCAGACACGCUGGUGGGGGCGCUGGUGGGGUCGGGGGCUCGCGCCUGGGCUGGUUUCACCGCGCUGGUUCUGUGCAGUGACCCCUUCUCCUUGGGGGCGCUUCCACCAGCCACGAGCCUAGUGGUAACACAUUCGGUCACCCCGCGAGGGUAGGAGACGCCCCAGGCCGGGAGUGAACCCCUCAACUCUGCAGAGUCCCAGGCCUGGCCCGCCGCUGACCACGUCGCUUGGCGCCCAGCGGCCAGGAGAGGCGCCCUUUCAUUUCUCCAGGUUUUCCCUUAGAUUCCUUUGCGAGUGCGGGGAGCCCCCUUUUUUCUAGGAGGAAGCACCCAGAGCGGUAAAGACCUGCUGGAACCCCGAAGCACUUGGAAUGCAUUAGGCUGUGGCUGGCACCUUCUCUCCGCCCUGGCGAGGCUGCUGUGGAGGCUGGCAGUGAAGGAAUCUGGCCAGAGCUCAUGGCAGGCGCUGGGGUCUGUGGCACUGUGGGACAGGGGCUAUUUCAGCUGUACCAGGAUGUCCUAGAGAUUGCUGACUGAGGGAGCCUGUACCAGAAAGAGGUGUCUGAAGGACUGAGGAUGAACAAUGGCAGGGCUCUGACCACUAGGCUGGGACGUUUUGUGCAGGAUGAUGACACCGGCUCCGUGAAGAUUCAACUGCCUCUGAGACAACUGACUGACUAGUCCCUCAAAGAGGAACAUCUUUUGGAACCCUGCCCCUGGCCAGUGGGAAUGACCAAACUAGCCCACGCUGAGAUAGAGGAGAAGCACCUGACUUUCCAGCUUUUUCUAGUGCCCCAUGGCUGGAGGGGGACACAGCUUGGCCCUCCCCCAGCCCUCCCCCUGCUCCACCCCCACGAACUGGAACAACUUGCUCCAGUGACUUCUGGGGUUAUCUAACAGCCACUUUCCUCCUCUCCCCUCUAACAGGAGUACAGUUCAACCCAGCAGGAAGCUUCUCCCCACUCCCACUUUAGGAAGGGCUGCUGCCACUUUGAAGGAGGGGGAGGGGCAUGUGGUGUGGCUAAAAUCAGGGAGUGAGGAAGGGUGGAUCAGGCCCUAUUGUUAACAGCCCCGUCCCCCUAGCUUUCCAGAAGAUUCCCAGGUACCAGCCCUGCCCCCUCACUGGGUCGCUACCAUGACAACUAUGGCUGUGUCCUGCACCCACUUAGACCAAUCACGGAUCUGUACUUGGACCAAUCACAGGCCUGCGGCUGCUACAUUUUUUAGUUGGUUUAGGAGGGUUUCCUCCCGCUGACACCCCUGUGCUGCAGCAUAGGUCCUGCUAAAGAGUCGUUUUGGUGGUGCAGUAAACCGGCUAGUGAUUUGUUUCUUGGGUAGUGUGGGUUCCAAAUAUCCUGUAAAUCUACUCCUGGGUAAGGAUGGUCAAAGUGUUGUUUUCAAAAGAAAGAGCAAUAAACACAAGGGGCUAUUUGCUUUCCAGCGUCCAGCCGUCAUGAAGGGCUUGGGGUGAGAAGUAAGAGCUGCUUCUGUGAGGCCACAAGAUGGCAGCACAGAGCAGCAAGUGUAGAAGCUUUGAGGUAGCCUCCCUACUCCCUGGGGUUGUCUUGUUACACAUUUCACACUGGGGACUUUCACUUGAGAUUUGGACAGCCCAAAAAAGAGACACGGAGCCAUGGACUGGAUGAAAUAUUCUUUUUCAGCUGUUUAGUCCAUCUCUUUAGCUGCUCGAGCAGCCAUCAGCCAUUGUGCACACAAGGCAGUCCUCAGCCUCCAGCCAGCCCACACAACAGUCCUUGGAUGACAACCUUGGUUAUAGCCAAAGGAGGCAGCUGGAAUGGAGGAUAACAGCUAGACAAAGACCAUGAAUUUAAAGCUUGGGAGUGGUGAGUAGACCAGUUGGUUGCCUGUUCCCUGGGGGAAAUGAGUUUGAAUUAGGAAAGAGUGAGAAAGAUUCAUCAGGAAAAGUAGAAACAUAAAAUCUCUGUGCAGGCUGUGACUGUGGCUCAGUGAGAGGGUAUUUGCGUAGUAUAUGCAAGGCCCUGGGUUCCAUCACUGAUACCACAAAGCAAAGCAAAACAUAAACACAAGAAAAUAAAGCAAAACAUGAGAAUUAUGAUGCCAUGAGUCAAGGUACCCUGGCCUUCAUCCCUGCCCUUUUUGUGGUUAUCUGAUAGCCCAGUGUGCAAACAUUACAUUUAUUCUUGCAGAACUCUAAUUAAAUUGAGUUACAGACAGAUUAAGGGAUCUUAAGCCGGGGGAGAUGGCAUGAUCGAAGUGAAUGCUGUAGUACCAGGAGCUGGGCAAGGGGCUGCUGGGAUGGCCUUGGGAUAGGGGAGGAGGCCUGGACCAGAAGUGGAGGCCUGGGUGUGGAGAAGACAGGCUGUAUGUGAAGCGGACUUCCAAGGCUGCAUUCGCAGAUAUGGCUGCUAAUUAGGGGAGGGAGAGGGGAAAGAUGGGGGCCAGCACCUCAGGAGGAUGCUCAGGGUGGGGGCAUGUGGUGUGGGGAAUCCUGGGUGGUGGAUUUGAGGAUCAGGAAGGGGUUCUAGGCUGGAGAUGAGGCCUUACCAGUUUAGCAGUAGUGACUGGAGUCGUGGGAGUGAGCCAGGUUAGCUAGGACACUGUAGAAAGGGCCAAAGCGGGCUCUGCUCAGUCCAGUGUAAACAGUGGACUUCCGGUCACAAUGGGGUGGUGGGGUCGGGGAUGUCCCCAGGGCAUUGUAGGGGGUGUGGGGAGGGCUGUAUAUUUCUUCUAGGAAAGGAGUACUCUCCUUGGCGGGCAGUGGAGAAAAGGAAGCCGCGUGGACCCUCCCCACCCCUUUUACUAUUUUAGGGGCAAAGAGGCAGGGAACUACACAAGUGUAAUGAUCUCUGCUUGAUAGGAACAGAAAGCUACUGGAGGAUGUGAGCCAUCAGGAGAAAGAAGAGCGUGAAGGUGAUAAAAAUGUCACAGCCCCGAGGGGAUGUCAGGGAUGCUAAGGGAAGAAGCAAAGCCCAGUGUGCCCGGAGUCAGGUUGUAGGGUAGAGGGCACAGGACUGAGCCCAUGACAGAUCAUGUUUCCAGUCUGAUUAGUCCAGCCCACGGAGGAAGCAGGAACAGGAACACUGGUGGGAAUACAAAUUACCAUAAAACACAGACGGCCUUGACAUCUAGGCUCUUGCUCCUGGCUGCUGGGUGCAGGGGUGCACCAGUGACAACAGUUCAGCUGAGGAGCCUGGCACGGGUGUGUGACCGGCACCACAGUGCAGCCCAGCCCUCUCCCCGUGGGUCAUACCCCUCAGCGCGUUGUUGGAUGUCUUGCGCAUUAUUGCCAGCAUCUCCCUAACAGUGUGAGCGAAAAUAUCUUCUAGGAAACUUGAAAACCACAGAAGAAAGUAGGUGAGGGAGUCUAAGGUAGCCCAGAAAUGCCCAUCAUGGACAGAAAAGGUAGAAAGGACACCGAGGACUGAGAGCAGGGCCACACUUGGCCUGAGUGACCCCUGCCCAGGGAGGCAGACAGGGAAUCCUGGGAGCAGAUGUGUCCCAUUCGAAAACGCAGGGGCCAGAGCGCAGUUCCUGGGGCUGUGUGACUGUGAGCAAAGGAAAGACAAACAGAAGUCCGUGUGGAUUGUUUACCCCAAUGACUCAUGUAAGGCGUCAUUACAGAUAAGGGGUCACAACCAUUCACUUCCUGAGCCUUUAUUUAUUGGGUUUCUUUUUUUUU
This is a long non-coding RNA of Fukomys damarensis (Damara mole-rat), 3706 nucleotides long. RefSeq lists it as uncharacterized. The record is from RefSeq and is a predicted model, not a curated record. Lineage: Eukaryota; Metazoa; Chordata; Mammalia; Rodentia; Bathyergidae. The transcript is spliced from 4 exons.